RNAcentral lists this ribosomal RNA (488 nucleotides) under uncultured bacterium. RNAcentral's name for it is "bacterial SSU rRNA". It matches the Rfam family "Bacterial small subunit ribosomal RNA", at positions 28 to 507 of the family's 1533-position model. The record is from RNAcentral.
GAUGAACGCUAGCGACAGGCCUAACACAUGCAAGUCGAGGGGCAGCGAGGAUGUAGCAAUACAUUUGUCGGCGACCGGCGCACGGGUGAGUAACGCGUAUGCAACCUACCCGACACAGGGGGAUAACCCGGAGAAAUUCGGACUAAUACCGCAUAAAACAGGGGUCCCGCAUGGGAAUAUUUGUUAAAGAGUAAUCGGUGUCGGAUGGGCAUGCGUUCCAUUAGAUAGUUGGUGAGGUUAACGGCCACCAUGCCCACGAUGUCUAGGGGUUCUGAGAGGAAGGUCCCCCACACUGGAACUGAGACACGGUCCAGACUCCUACGGGAGGCAGCAGUGAGGAAUAUUGGUCAAUGGUCGGAAGACUGAACCAGCCAUGCCGCGUGAAGGUGACGGCCCUAUGGGUCUUAAACUUCUUUUGUAAGGGAGCAAUAAGGUGUACGUGUACAUCGAUGAGAGUACCUUACGAAUAAGCAUCGGCUAACUCCGUG